This 67-nucleotide transfer RNA is filed under the name Uenoa lobata. RNAcentral describes it as "tRNA-Phe". The record is from RNAcentral. Lineage: Eukaryota; Metazoa; Arthropoda; Insecta; Trichoptera; Uenoidae.
ACUUAAAUAACUUAUUUAUUAGAGUGUGAUAUUGAAGAUAUCAAAGAAGUUAUUUAACUUUUAAGUA